Molecule: non-coding RNA, 202 nt
Organism: Pelobates cultripes (western spadefoot toad)
Lineage: Eukaryota; Metazoa; Chordata; Amphibia; Anura; Pelobatidae
Source: the annotation of a GenBank genome assembly
GAUGGACACAUGAGGGGAAAAAACCAUAACACCCGAGGCCAACCCCUCUCUAGGCCUUAGGUGCUGAAGUUUCCCUGCAAACUAGGACAGUUUCUUCUGAGAUGCCCCCUCUUUCCACAAUAAAGGCACAAGCCCUCCCUUCUGCGAUAUGUUCUUUCAGCUUCAGUUAAGCCUACAGCACCUAAUUGCAUGGGUUCGGGAG